This 253-nucleotide ribosomal RNA is filed under the name uncultured bacterium. Its description in RNAcentral is "partial 16S ribosomal RNA". It matches the Rfam family "Bacterial small subunit ribosomal RNA", at positions 524 to 776 of the family's 1533-position model. The record is from RNAcentral.
UACGAAGGGGGCGAGCGUUGUUCGGAUUUACUGGGCGUAAAGGGCGCGCAAGCGGCUCAUUUUGUCAGGCGUGAAAGCCCCGGGCUUAACCUGGGAACUGCGUUUGAUACGGAUGGGCUAGAGUUCGGGAGAGGAGAGUGGAAUUCCCAGUGUAGAGGUGAAAUUCGUAGAUAUUGGGAAGAACACCGGUGGCGAAGGCGGCUCUCUGGACCGAUACUGACGCUGAGGCGCGAAAGCGUGGGGAGCAAACAGG